Molecule: long non-coding RNA, 7868 nt
Organism: Balaenoptera ricei (Rice's whale)
Lineage: Eukaryota; Metazoa; Chordata; Mammalia; Artiodactyla; Balaenopteridae
Exons: 4
Source: RefSeq, a predicted model, not a curated record
UUUUUUGACCAGUAAAUAGCAAAGUGCAAAAAAUGUGCAGCUCAAAAUAGUAAAAUCAAAUUAUUAAAAUGGAAUUGUACACUCCUGUAUGAUCAGGCCACUCAGUAUGCUAUUCUCUUGCUCUUCGUACAUCCCGGCUCAACCGGUCCCUGCUUCACCUACUCACGUGAACAGUGCUUGCCCCCUGCCGCAGCUAGUGAUUGUUCUAAUCCUUUGGCUCCACCUGCUAGUUUAUUAAAGGGAAACAUCUGCCCUCAUGAUGGUUGUUAACCUGAGGGGCUGUAAGGGACAUGCGCCACCUGGUUUCCCUGGUAACUGAUGAGCCAACCUGACAUCAAUUCCCCCUAUAAAUGGUAGCCUCCUUCUUCCCCAAGCAGUAAAGAUGGCUGCUGUGGCUUGUCUGCUGUACGUGUGGGGCAUUGCACCAGGACCCUUAUUUCAGACAGGUAAGAUCCCCUAUCCAAUAUUACUGAUCUCUGUCACUGUCUCAAGGCUCUUUCUUCAGUGUCCAGGCUGUGCAACUACAAUACAAGGCUUGCAGGCCUGCAGAGUGCAGCACAACAGUUGGUGAACAAGUCAGGACACCAGGGAAACUCCCAUGAGCACUGAGAUGUUGGGAAAUAAGAACAGGGAAUGGACACUUGUGGAGUUAAGCCUGGGGUGGCUGUCCACUAGCACGUGGGGCCCCAAAGUUGUGAGAGGCAAUCCCGAGGCGGCCGUCCACCAGCGUGGGCGUGCCCCUGGCAGCUGUCGACCAUGAGAGAGAUCGUUCUCUUCCAUUUAUGUUGAUAAUAGCCUGUUAACCUCAGAGUCUCUUUCAAGUUUAAGAGUAGCAGCCCCGUGCUCAUGGUUCAUCUUGACUGCACAGGGAUGGCUGGUGAAUACAGACAGAACGCAAGGACCUGGAUUAUCUACAAAAUACAGGCAUACCCCUGACCCACCGCCCCUAAACAAUUACAGACACAGGCUUUAGGGAUAAUAACUCAGGAACAGACUUGUGAAUUAGACAUGGCCAGUUACCCAGGUUUCGCUGGGGCCUGUGACAAUGGCAAAAUGAUAAGACUACCCUUUUUUGGUCAUAGCUAUGGCAAUGGUCAGAGCAACGAUACAGUGUGAGCGAACAACAGCUAUAUGCAGUCUACAAUGCAUUACAACAGGUGGAAGACAUAAAAGGCCUACGUAAGUCAUCGAGCAAUGCAAAAACCCACUAUUCAGGGUCUAGAAGAGCUGUGCACGACAUACAGGACUCCCAUCGACAUUGAUAGUGACCAAGGAACCCACUUUACCCACCACAAAGUGCAGGAAUGGGCCUCUAAAAAUGACAUAUGCUGGCAUUUCCACCUGCCCUACAACUCCACUGCUGCUGGGCUAACUGAAAGGAUGAAAGGACUACUUAAACAACAAUUGAGAUGUGAAAUCUAUAACCGAACAUUCCAGGAGCAAUCAUCCCAGUGCCUACGCCACGUUAACCCAGAGACAACUAGUCAACACCAUCCAAGUUCAACUGUUGACCACCAAAGGACCGCUGCCGAUUGAUUAUAGGUCAGGACAAUGACUCACUUUUGCCCUUGCCACAGAAUCUACCCACCGAGAAACACAUUAUAAAAUGGCCCUGGGACUGGCAAGUAAGUCCUCAAUAGUUUGGGUUUGCUGCCCUGUGUGGGGAAUAGAAUUACAAAAGGGACUUACAGAUCUCACCUGUCUUCCACCCGGCCCCGCCUAAGACUACUAAGGUAAUUAAUCCGGGCCCCAUAAUGGAGAAAAGCACCAUUAUUUUAACCUGUGGUCUGUUACUCCGCCUCUCCAGUAUUUGACAUCAACUGUGCGGACUGAGUGUGGACGGGUGGUGUGGUACUGCAGGCCGCGACAAAAGCCACAGAGCCUAUGUUCCAGAGACAGACAACAGACAAAAUUCAAAACUGCUGGAAGGAGCAUGUUCUGGCACAAAAGUUCUGAAAUGGCAAGAACUUGAUAUGCAUGAAGCUUUUGUUGCUGGAAAAGGUAAGCAAAGGGUGAGAUGGUACAUGCAGGUGCUCAUGCAGGCCAUUGUUAAGAAGCUGAGUCUUUACGUACAUAGGAAGCCACUGAAAACUCUUAUGUAGGAAGCCGAUGUGGCUUUAUUGAAGAAAAAGCAAACAAACAUAAAGGCAAAACCAAAGCAAACCACACUGGCACACUGGCUGCUGUAAAGAGAAUGGGUGAUGAAAACCGGAAGAAAAGAGACCUGAUAGGGAGUUCACUGCAAUAAUACAUCUACCCAGGAGAUGAUGACGGCUUACAUUAAAGGGAUAGCAGAGGAAUGGGAGAGAAGGUGAUAGGUUCAAGAUGUACUGUGGAAAGAAAACUAAGAAGACUGGCUGAUAGAUUAGAUGUGGGGAGGAAUCAAGAAUGACCCUAGGAUUUUUAUCUGAAUCACUAGGUAGACAAUAGUUCUGUUUACUUAGAUGGCAAGAACUGAAGAAGAAAUAGUGUGGAAGAUCCCUCUACCUGCCACACAGUUCCACUUCUCUCCUCCUUCUUUGGUAACAACAUUCCGAGUUUAUAUUAAAGAUGGAAAUGGGUCCAGCUAAAAAUAUUUUUGUCUUUUCCUUGCAGCUAGGUGUGUGCCCAUUGGCUGGGUUCUGGCCAACAAAACAUAAUUGGAAAUAACGUGAGAUUUCUGGAAAGUUUAUUUCAAGCUAAGUGAUGUUCCCUUUUCACUCUUUUAUCUUUCCCGUCUUCCUCCUGAAACCUGAACAUGAUGGGUGGUGUCCCAAGACCACGAUGGAUACUGAAAUGAUUUGAAAGACGGAGGCACCUGCCAAGACAGUGUGACUCAGAAACAUAAAAAGAAACCUGAUGACCAAGGAGCCUUCACAACAGCUUUGAAUGAAGACCUUCAGCCCUCUUUCAUAUAAAAGAGAGAAAAAAUUUAUAUUUUUAAGUCAUUUUACUGAUAGUUUCUUUUAUUUGCAGCUGAAUUCAAUCUCCACUGAUACCAACUGGCUUGAGGAGAGGGGUGAAAAAUCAAGAACUAUUUCUGAAACACUAAGUUGAGGUAUCUAUUAGACAUCCAAAUGGACAUGUUAAAUAAACAACUGAAUAUAGAAAUCUUGUCCUAAAAUGAGAGACCAGCACUGGAGAUAUACAUUUGGGAGCUACUGAAUCUUCGUUCCCCGACCAGGGAUGGAACCCAUGCUCCUGCAGUGGAGGUGCAGAGUCCUAACCACUGGACCACCAGAGAAUUCCCAGGAAAUCUUCUUAUUCACAUUAUCUUUUUCCCUGACGAUUACAAAUAAAUUAGGUAAAGAGUGGAUACUCUUCAUUAUGACAAGGUUGAGAAAGAAGGAAAUCAUCUGAACCUUCAAUUAUACUUUGAAGCAGACUCAGACUGCAACAACACUCUAUAAACAUUCAAACAUCUAAAGAGGCCAUUAAUAAAUAAUCGCCUGAGAUUUAACAGCAAUAACAACAACAACAAAAUCCCAAAUGCUCCAUAGCUACAGACCACUCUUCCAGCUCCAGGUAGCCACCUCCAUGAGUGAGUAUGCUCCUAUUCAGAGGAACCAGGAGUGUAAAGGAUUUAGCUCAGUGCAACCAGUAAACUCACUGAAAAACAGCGCAAAGCACAUGUCCUAUCAAUGGGUAUCUAUAUUGCCAAUUAUCAUUGUCAGUAUUAUAAUGGAACACACAUCUUGAGAGGCAGCUAAGCCUCAUAGUUCAGAACACAAGUUCUAGAGCCAGACUGAGUAUGAAUUCUGCCUCCACCACUUAUAAGCUAUGACUUUGGGCAAGUUGUUCAACCACUCUGGCCUGCAAAACCAUUAACUGUGAAAAGGAAAUAAUAAUGUGUCUACCUCAGAGAUCUAUAGGGAUUGUGAUGGUUUAUGUGUCAACUUGACUUGCCACAGGGUGCCAAGAUUAAACAUCAUUUCUGGGUAUGCUGUGAGGAUAUCUAGGGAUGAGAUUAGCAUUUGGAUCGGUAGACUCAGUAAAGUAGAUGGUCCUCCCCAAUGUGGGUGGGCAUCAUGCAACCCACUGAAGGCCUGAAUAGAACAAAAGGAGGAGGAAGGGGGAAUUCAUCUUUUACUGCCUCGCUACUCUAGCUGGGGCAUCACGUUUCUUCUUCUGCCCUUGAACUGGGAUUUAUACCAUCAGCUCCCCUAUUUCUCAGGUCUUCACAUUGGGUCUGGGUCUCUAGCUUGCAGACAGUAAAUCAUGGGGACUUCUUAACGUCCAUAAUUGCAUGAUCAAAUUCCUCAUAAUAUGAAACAAAACCAAGAGGAGAUAUAUACCUGGAGAACCCUAAUACAGGGGUUAAUGAGUUAAUACAUGUUAUCUAGCACCUAGAAAGUCCUCAGUAAGUGUUAAUUACCCUCAUUGUUAUUUUCAUUACUAUUACUGUGUAACCCAAAGAGUAGGAACAGCUCAAAGACUUAUGAACUUUGUUCUAAGAAAGAAGGACAGUCAGUCAUAAUUAAAUGGAUUCAAGAAAUCAAAACACAUCCUGGAAACCAGGGCUGCUGUGGGGGCUGAGUGUGGAAGAAAGAAUCAGUAUCCAGAAAGGUCUUCCCCAUGACUUCCUGGUCUUUAAAGGAGAUAUUCUACUAGCAGUAAGGCCAUCCCAACUCUUUCUUGUGCACAGUGGGAAAAGACAUGGGAAACCUCAGUGAGACGUCUCUAACCACUAUCCACAUAAAAGGAGAGAAAAACACUGUGAGGCUGAGAGGUAACACCUUGAGGCCAGGUGGUGUGAGAGAUGUAUGAUGAUGAGUGAGCAAUGGGACAGAGGACCCAGGUGAGGCCACUGGAGGACCACCUGGCCACAUAUUCAGAGUCUUGCUUCCUGCUAACAACUUUAAGGAGUUUUAACAAUAUUCUGUCAAACUUACGCCAUCUCCUCUGUGAGCAGCUCCCUGCUCCCAACUCCCCACCCCCGACCCCUAGGUGAUAGCAGAUGCCUCAAGCCUUUCAUGGGUAGCUAAGGGACGUUAGGCCAACCUCACUAUCUGCUUGAGUUUCUGACUCUACUAUGCAACUUCUGCCAAAGAUUUCAGGGUAAGACUUACGGUAGGGAAAAAUACUGCCUCAGGAGGGAAACUGCAAGAUAUGCAGACUUAAUGAAGUUUGACUUUCACUAAAGGUAGUGAAAACGGGGAAUUUGGGUGAUUUGUUUUCAAGCACUUAGGACACAAUACUCUCCUUGGUUAUAUAUUACUGAAAGGACUCAUAACCAAUGGAAGGUGAAGGGCGGAAGUCCUGGUUCUCACCCAGCAUCUGAUAAAGGUCUCCCUUUUGGGCUCAUAAUGACAGAACAUCUCGUGAAUAUUUAAAAGGAAACACCUUUUUGGAUACGGAUUCAAAUAAAUGACCUUACUGUACAACAAUGAACUCUUCUUUGCCAGGACCCCCUCCUCCUCCUCCCUGCUUCCCAUAUACUUCCAGGUUCUUUUGUAGGCACUGAUCCAUGUCACAGUUUUGAAUAUAUAUAUGUGUAUAUAUAUAUAUAUAUACACACACAUAUACAUACACACACACAUAUAUCCAGCUUUUUCCUGAGUGGGGUUGAGAGGGUAGGCAUGGGGUAAAAAUAAUACACCUUUAUCUUUCUUUACAAAUUGUAAAUUAACUCAAUUUUCUAAGCUUUCCCCCCACCCCACCCCUUUUCUGUCUGUAUCAACACAGAACUUGUUUAGCCAGAGGAGUUUGUUGUGGUGAGACUGGCAAAUAUAUGAAUAGACUGUCGUCAAACAGCCUUGAAAAAACAAGUAUUUGUUCACCAUAUGAAAGCACGUUCACACAAACCUCUCUCUAUCAAAUCACUGAGCAAAUAUUCUUAAAAUCUGUAGUGGGAUAGAUGUUCUACAUCAAGUUUACAACAAAACAACAACAAAAAACUCAAAAUGUAUUAUACACGAGGCACCAUGCUUAGCACUGGUGUGGAUACAAAGGUAUGCAAAACCUGUACUGUUUAGGUAUACAGUAAAGCUAUGAACUUGAGCCAUUUGCUUAAUGUCUCCUGGUGGGCUUCAGUUUCUACUUUCUUACAACAGGACCGAAUUGACACACCUCUGUGGUUGUAUCUACCCUUAAAAUCAACCUAACUAGAAUGGUCAAACAUAUACACAGGAAAUUUAGCCAAUAAUGUAAAAAUACAAAGAAUGUUAAGUGUGUGACGAGUGUUAUUGCUCCUAUACGAGUUCAGAGGAAAGAGUUCACUGCAGGCUGAGUGUUGCAGGGAAGGCUUCCAGGAGGAGGGAGGACCUCACCUGGACACUGAAGACAGAGUAGGCACUGGACGGCCAUGAAGACAGGAUAGGGAGUUCUAUCAGUAACUUGGCAGCGCAUUUGUGGGUGGUAAAGACUGGAUGCGAUGACAUGAAAAGGAAGUUUUAUUGAGAGCACAAGGUAGGUUUGGGGAAAUGUAUUGCAGUUUGACUAUGAUUCAUCCAUUCUCCACUUUUCUUUUGUAUGAAAAAUCUCAAACUAAGAAACAUGCAGUGCUCUGUGGGAUAAAAUCAUUCUGGCAAUGCUAUUAAUUGUUUAUUUUUGUAAUUUUCUAAUUGUAUUAUGUAUUUAAUAGAAUAUAAAACUGAAAAAUCAGCUUUCAUAACAUUUUCCAAUUUGGAUUUUUUCAUACAGUAAAAAAAUGUUAGCUUUAUAUAUUAAUAAACCAUCUUAAAGUACUGGACAAUACUAAAUAUCAACUGAAAAAUAACUAAAAAUGAUUUUGUAAAAUAUUAUUAUUAGUCUGCCAAUCAACACAUGUUCAUUUGGCACCUACUACGUGCUAGGCUCCAUGGCAGGAGCUGGGGCAGAUCCGAACAAUAAACGCGUUCCGGCUGGAAUAAGAAACACCGAGUUGAAAUGCUGAAGAGGGUGUGGAGAAAAGGGAACCUUCCUGCACUGCUGGUGGGAAUGCAGCUGGUGCAGCUACUGUGGAAAACAGUAUGGACAUUCCCGAGGAAACUAAAAAUAGAAUUACCAUAUGAUCCAGCCAUCCCACUCCUGGGCAUAUAUACAGACAAAACUACAGUUCAAAAAGAUACAUGCACCCCUAUGUUCACAGCAGUACUAUUCACAAUAGCCAAGACAGGGAAACAACCUAAAUGUCCAUCGACAGAUGAAUGGAUAAAGAAGAUGUGGUAUAUACACAUAUACAAUGAAAUACUACUCAGCCAUAAAAAAGAAUGAAAUAAUGCCAUUUGUAGCAACAUGGAUGGAUCUAGAGACUAUCACACUAUGUGAAGUAAGUCAGAAAGAGAAAGACAAAUACCAUAUGAUAUCACUUACAUGUGGAAUCUAAAAUAUGACACAAAUGAACCUAUCUAUGAAACAGAAACAAAAUCAGGGACAUAGAGAAUAGACUAGUGGUUGCCAAGGGGGAGGGGGUGGGAGAGGGAUGGAUUGGAAAUUUGGGAUUAGCAGAUGCAAACUAGUAUAUAUAAAAUGCAUUAAACGACAAGGUCCUACUUUAUACCACAGGGAACUAUAUUCAACAUCCUGUGAUAAACCACAAUGGAAAAGAAUAUGAAGAAAAAUGUAUGUAUGUACAACUAAGUCACUUUGCUGCACAGCAGUAAUUAUUAACACAACAUUGUAAAUCAACUAUACUUCAACAAAAUAAAAUAAGGUGUACAUAACAAAACCUGGUGCUCUGAAUCUGACCUCUUGCAUUUCCUCUAGGGGAGGUCUCUAAAAGAGUGAAAUGACCUUAUACGUAAUAGAACUUGGAUGUUUAUGUUCCAACACAUAUAUAAUUUUCACCUGCGGGACAAAAUGGCUCUGUAAGAAUAUGUUUAUUUUUUGAAUCUAUUUCCUCUUUUAUGAUGUAAACUUUGAAGUGAUAUUUCAUAAAGUUUCUGCCUUCUCAAAUUUCCAGGCAUAUC